UAUUAAAAAUUUCAUCUAUUUCUCCUGUUAAAAAUUGAUUUAAUUAACAAAAUAAUCAAAUAAUGACACAUGGAUUUCGUGUGCACUUCAUGCCAACGCAUAGAACCAGUCAUUAUUAACAGAAAUUGAUGAAAUUUUUAACG
MicroRNA precursor from Gossypium arboreum, 143 nucleotides. It matches the Rfam family "MIR7502 microRNA precursor family". NCBI's taxonomy places the organism in Eukaryota, Viridiplantae, Streptophyta, Magnoliopsida, Malvales, Malvaceae. The record is from Rfam.